UUUUAGCCCAGAUGGGAAUGGAAACCCCGGACUUAUAUUUGUUGAAUUUUUUUGGUGUAAAAGAGCGACUCCCGACGCUUCGGGAGAAGCUCCUUUUAUGCCUUAAAAAAUUACAAAUAUAAGGAGGAGUUGCAAUGUACAGCUGGAUUAGCU
RNAcentral lists this small RNA (153 nucleotides) under Flavobacterium cutihirudinis. RNAcentral's name for it is "Flavo-1 RNA". It matches the Rfam family "Flavo-1 RNA". Lineage: Bacteria; Pseudomonadati; Bacteroidota; Flavobacteriia; Flavobacteriales; Flavobacteriaceae. The record is from RNAcentral.